AUGGGUGCCGAUAGCAAUCUCUGCGUCCUGCAUGCCGACGUUGUCACGCCAUCCGACGUCGACCUCCCACCGCACUCCCUCCCGCUCACCUUCUUUGACGUCAAAUGGCUGCGAGGGCCGCCCGUCCAGCGACUCUUCCUCUACCGUCUCCAGGACCACCACCACCACGGCAAUGUCCAGCAGCUCCUCUCCGACCUCAGGGCAUCCCUCUCCAAGGCGCUCAACCUCUUCUACCCGCUCGCCGGCCAUGUCCGUCUCGCCCCCGACACCAACCGCUACGAGCUCUUCUACCAGCCGGGCGAUGGCGUCUCCUUCACCGUCGCCGAGUAUGACGCCGACGUCGGUGACCUCGCCAGCGACGGCCCCGUGCAGGUCGCCAUGCUCGCGCCUCUCGUGCCGUCGCUUCCAAAGGGCCGCGCCGUGCUCGCCCUGCAGGCCACAGUGCUGCUCGGUGGGCGGGGCGUCGCGCUCGGCGUAACUAUGCACCACACCGCCGGUGACGACGCCAGCUCCACCCACCUCCUGCACACCUGGGCCGCCCUCUGCAACGGUGCCGUCGAAAUGCCGCCGCCACCCGUGUUGGACCACACGCUCGUCGCUGACCCCAGGGGCCUCUACGACAUCUACUGCCAAGGAAUGCCCAGCGGCGGCAACGAGAUGGAAUUCGUGACCAGCAGCGUGUCCUCCGUCCCCGACGACCAGCUCGUCGCCACCUUCACGCUACCUCAAGAGGUCCUAACUGCCAUCAAGGAAGCGCUCGCCGGAGAGGCGACGAGGCACGGUGCGCCGCCGCGCAGAUGCUCGUCGACGCUCGCGGCCUACACCUUCAUCUGGUCCUGCUACUACCGAGCCAAAAAGGAUCAGGAACAAGGUCAUGCAAAAACUACCCACUUCCUCUUCUCUGUGGAUCACCGGGCACGGUUGAAGCCGCCCCUCCCUGCCACAUACUUUGGCAACUGCAGCAUCCCGGCCAUCGCCGUCACGCGCCAUGACGAGCUCACGGCGGCCGGCACGGGGGGCCUCUUCGCGGCAUUCACGGCAAUCGCGAACGCGCUCGAGGAAGUGGUGAGCGAGGGGUACCCGGAGAGGUGGGACGGAUGCGGCAAGAGGGUGAUGGAGGCCGCAAAGGCCGGCAUGAUGUUCGUGGUGGGGUCGCCGAGGUUCCGCGUGUAUGACGUCGACUUCGGGUUCGGGAGGCCGGCAAAGGUGGUGGCGGUGUCUGGGGCGAUGCCUGGCGCGAUGCCGGUGGCAGAUGCGCGCAACGGCGAUGGUGGCGUCGAGGUGGGGCUAACGUUUUCGGCGGGCGGCAUGGAGCAUUUCCAGCGGUGCUUUUCUGAUGCCAUGCAUGCGAUCGGCAUGUAA
Molecule: ribosomal RNA, 1362 nt
Filed under: Triticum aestivum (bread wheat)
Lineage: Eukaryota; Viridiplantae; Streptophyta; Magnoliopsida; Poales; Poaceae
Description: partial small subunit ribosomal RNA
Source: RNAcentral